This 758-nucleotide long non-coding RNA is filed under the name Chinchilla lanigera (long-tailed chinchilla). RNAcentral describes it as "lncRNA (ENSCLAG00000023133.1)". Lineage: Eukaryota; Metazoa; Chordata; Mammalia; Rodentia; Chinchillidae. The record is from RNAcentral.
AUGCACAUCUGCACACUUCCCUCACUAACACACUCCUCUGACCUCUCCAUCUCCAACACCAGAACCAUGAGCUGCUGUGGCUGUUCCGGAGGCUGUGGCUCCAGCUGUGGGGGCUGUGGCUCCAGCUGCUGUGUGCCCGUGUGCUGCUGCAAGCCUGUGUGCUGCUGUGUGCCAGCCUGUUCCUGCUCCGGCUGUGGCCAAGUGGGCUGUGGCUCCUGUGGGUGCUCCAAGGGGGGCUGUGGGUGCUCUAAGCCAGCCUGUUCCUGCUCCAGCUGUGGCAAAGGGGGCUGUGGGUCCUGUGGGGGCUGCAAGCCCUGCUGCUGCCAGUCCAGCUGCCAUGGCCCUGUGCGCUGCCAGUGCAAGGUCUGAAGUUCUGAGCUGAGAACCCCAGUGGCUCCCACACAUGCAGGAACACUUCCCUCCUGCUUUAGCCACACCCUACAUUUCUGUACCUGCUGAACCCUCGUUGGCUGUCUCUCUGCUGUGGCUUCCUACCUUCUGAAGCUUAGGCGCUCUCCUUCCUCUCUGUCAGCCUUGGUGUCUUACGCCUCAUUCGCUUUGACCAGGACUGUGCUCUCAGGGCCUCUUCAACAAUCACUGUCACCUUCCCCACUGGCCUGAGGCCCAUCGCCCCUUCCUCCCAUCAGUGCUGACCUGGGGCUGCUCAAAUCUCAGGGCCACUCAAGGUAGGGACAUCCCAGGAGCUGCACAACUGCUACCCACAGCUGCCACACCCCAUGGCCUCCUUCUGUCCUAUC